Molecule: transfer RNA, 74 nt
Filed under: Phascolarctobacterium sp. CAG:266
Lineage: Bacteria; Bacillati; Bacillota; Negativicutes; Acidaminococcales; Acidaminococcaceae
Rfam family: tRNA
About the family: Transfer RNA (tRNA) molecules are approximately 80 nucleotides in length. Their secondary structure includes four short double-helical elements and three loops (D, anti-codon, and T loops). Further hydrogen bonds mediate the characteristic L-shaped molecular structure. tRNAs have two regions of fundamental functional importance: the anti-codon, which is responsible for specific mRNA codon recognition, and the 3' end, to which the tRNAs corresponding amino acid is attached (by aminoacyl-tRNA synthetases). tRNAs cope with the degeneracy of the genetic code in two manners: having more than one tRNA (with a specific anti-codon) for a particular amino acid; and 'wobble' base-pairing, i.e. permitting non-standard base-pairing at the 3rd anti-codon position.
Source: Rfam by way of RNAcentral
GGUUCCGUAGCUCAGCAGGAUAGAGCAACCGCCUCCUAAGCGGUAGGUCGGCAGUUCGAAUCUGCCCGGGAUCA